AAAAUUUCUUGACUUCAUGUGACAAAGCAAUUCACAAUGAAAAGAACUACGAAGAUGCAAAAUAUCUCAGAAUCACAGAAUGAAUGAUUCUUUACCUCCUGACCCUUCAAAAGCUACAACUCGUAUUCUGAGCAUCUUAUCCUAAACAAAGGAAGACUUGAAUCCUUCUUAGUAAGGAUGAAAAACUAAUAGGGAAGAGGACAUAAACUAUGCAUCAAAGACCUCAGCAAUUAGUUUGAAAAGAAGCAAUAAACCAUUGUGAAACUCUAAGCAAACAGAAUGCAGUGUCAACGUACAAAUUCUGUAAAGAAAUGUAACUGCAGCUGCAAAGAAGCCAAGACCGUAACAUGUAGCACAUCACCCUUGCAGUUGGUGGGGCAACUCUAAGAUGAUGAAACCAUCAAAGGGCUUGCACUUUACUCCACAUAACCUAUUUGUUGUCCAAGUCACUGAGGAAGAAGGAGACUCUUUUCACGUUACUGUGAUCUCUCACACUUGGAGAGCAGUCAUUCCACCUGGACUUAUACAAUCUUUAAAAGAGUAAAAAGAUUCCUUGUGUGCUCUUCCCAAGCUGCAUGCACACACAAAGAACUGAUACUAUCUGGCUGCAGGUAACAGGUGCAAAUUCAGAAGAAAUUCGAUACAUGCUGAAAUACAUAGAGAAAACACAUAUUUUCUUUCUGGACAUAUUCAUAUUUCAACAAAUGUGGGCAGAGCAACUGUGUCACACCAAGCACUCAGAAGGGCCUCCAAAGGUGUCCAGAACAGGAGAACACAGAAAAGUCUGCCCUGGCAUUGUGUGACAAACCUCACUGUUUCCUUAAAUAAGACUAAGCUCCUGUUAUAAAACCCAGUGAAAUGGAUCCUGGAAAUUGUAAAGCUGAUUGCUGCAUCAGUUUGGGGAAGAUGAAUACUGUUGUUAUUGCUGCUCACUCUUGCUCUCCCAUACUCUGUCUUGUUCACUCACUGAGUCUGUAUUUGGAAUGCAGGAAAAACAUUUCUCAGCUAACAUGAGAUUAUAGUUUUUACUAAUGUUUGACAUUUCCAUGGCCUGUGAUCACAGUGGAAUUUUCUCCAUAAAGUGAUACCAUCUCCACAUGACUAAAUCAGAGCUGAAAAUCAGGCUCAGGAAGAAAACAAGCUAAACUUAUCUGACCAUGGCCUUGUAUCAAGAAGGGAUAUAACCUGCGACCACCAAGCAAGGGGAGCCAGUGGAAGGGGAAAAGACUCCCGAAUGGAGUAUAAAUGACUUGCUUUAUAUUCUUUUAAAUAGCUUGUGUGACCUCUAGUGGCCUUUGCUGCCUUCUGUGCACCUGCACCUUCAAUUUGUGGAAGUCACCUGGACCUACUGAUGGAGCAGCAUAUUUACAGGGAUGUUGGCUACUGUCAGGUGUGUGCUGUGGAAGCACAAGUCAGCCACGGGUUAGGGAUAGAUAUGUCCACACUUUUUUCCUUAAAUAAACACGGGGUGGGGGGUGGGGGGAAUUAACUGAAAUAAGCAUAGCAACUUCCCCUUCCUCCCAAACAUAUCCCAAGACAGAAUCACAGAAUGGUUGAGGUUGGCCUAGUCCAACCCCCUGCUCAAAGCAGGAUCACCUCGUCCAGGUUACUCAGGUCUCUGUCCAGUUUAGUUUUGAAUAUCUCAAAGGAUGGAGACUCUACAGCAUCUCUGGACAAUCUGUUCCACUGUUCAGUUACCCUCAGGAAAAAAAAAAACAACACUCUAUUUUUAUGAUGCUUAAAUGGAAUUUUUUGUAUUUCAAUUUGUGCUUAUUGCGUCUUAUCCUCUCACUAGAUUCCACUGACAAGACCUAAUGCAUUUUUUUUUUUAAGAAUGUGAAGAACAUAUGAUACCCACAGUAGUGACAGAUUAAAAUAAAAGUUUUAAAAUCUACCACACAUGCAUAUUUUUGCAGGGUGGAUUUUUUCCUUCUUUCUUUCUGUCACUCCAGCAAUUCCAGGGUAUCUAAGCUGUAGCACACUCCACACAGUCCUCACUCUGUGUUUGUUUGACUGGGCUAUGUAUUUGCUUCCUACUGCUCUCAGGAGCCUCCUCAUUUCUGCUGGAUGCUCCCAGCUUGCCCCUUGCCUCAGUCCCUGCUGACCCCUCACACACUCUGUGACAUCCCUCACUUUCACAGGCACUCCUGCCCUUAAAAACGCAUAAGAUCUCCCUCCAUCUCCAAAAAGGAUCCAGAAUUUUGCAUCAAAAAGUCAAACAGGUGAUCUUCUUUCCUGCUGUUCAGUCACAUUUUUUAAUGGAACAUAAUAUAAACAAUGUAUUGCAGGAGAAGAACAAAUAGUGUUUGCUGACUGUUAGGUAUAGUUGGUAAACAUUACUGCUAGCUUUCCAAUAUGCCGGUGUGCUUAGAUUAAGCUGGGAAUUUUUCCAAAACUCUCAUUGAAAAGGAUGUAUUACAUCAAAUCAGAAGAGAUUCUUUUACAAGGUUAGUAUUACAUUAUGCUGUGAGCAGCAGAUGGUGCGAGUACUUGUAUAGUAAAGGUAUACGUAAACAGAUGAUGUAAUGAAGGUAUAUCCUUCUUUGCUUGACCUAGAAUAAUUUUAUGUGUUAAUAGAUUUAGCUUUGUAGUGCUUUUACACUGCAUGUCACUGUCUUCUCCCUAUUUUACAGACAAGGAAUCCAAAGACAAGGAAUCCAAAGAUCAUUACAUCAAUGUAGAUUUCAUACUACAGUAACAGUUUGAGUGACAUGGGUAAACCAACACAGAAAGUAUGUAGGAGAAACAGAGUGAUAUUCCAGUGUUUUUCCUUGCCUUUUGCUUUCCCUUUUGCUUUCCCUUUUGCUU
Phalacrocorax carbo (great cormorant) is the source of this 2808-nucleotide non-coding RNA. The record is from RefSeq and is a predicted model, not a curated record. NCBI's taxonomy places the organism in Eukaryota, Metazoa, Chordata, Aves, Suliformes, Phalacrocoracidae.